CUCAGAACGAACGCUGGCGGCAGGCCUAACACAUGCAAGUCGAGCGGACCCUUCGGGGUUAGCGGCGGACGGGUGAGUAACGCGUGGGAAUAUGCCCUUCUCUACGGAAUAGUCCUGGGAAACUGGGGGUAAUACCGUAUACGCCCUUUGGGGGAAAGAUUUAUCGGGGAAGGAUUAGCCCGCGUUGGAUUAGGUAGUUGGUGGGGUAAUGGCCUACCAAGCCGACGAUCCAUAGCUGGUUUGAGAGGAUGAUCAGCCACACUGGGACUGAGACACGGCCCAGACUCCUACGGGAGGCAGCAGUGGGGAAUCUUAGACAAUGGGGGCAACCCUGAUCUAGCCAUGCCGCGUGAGUGAUGAAGGCCUUAGGGUUGUAAAGCUCUUUCAGCUGGGAAGAUAAUGACGGUACCAGCAGAAGAAGCCCCGGCUAACUCCGUGCCAGCAGCCGCGGUAAUACGGAGGGGGCUAGCGUUGUUCGGAAUUACUGGGCGUAAAGCGCACGUAGGCGGACCGGAAAGUUGGGGGUGAAAUCCCGGGGCUCAACCUCGGAACUGCCUUCAAAACUACUGGUCUUGAGUUCGAGAGAGGUGAGUGGAAUUCCGAGUGUAGAGGUGAAAUUCGUAGAUAUUCGGAGGAACACCAGUGGCGAAGGCGGCUCACUGGCUCGAU
RNAcentral lists this ribosomal RNA (669 nucleotides) under Paracoccus sp. SMCC G910. RNAcentral's name for it is "bacterial SSU rRNA". It matches the Rfam family "Bacterial small subunit ribosomal RNA", at positions 23 to 738 of the family's 1533-position model. The record is from RNAcentral. Lineage: Bacteria; Pseudomonadati; Pseudomonadota; Alphaproteobacteria; Rhodobacterales; Paracoccaceae.